Molecule: non-coding RNA, 24 nt
Filed under: Rattus norvegicus (Norway rat)
Lineage: Eukaryota; Metazoa; Chordata; Mammalia; Rodentia; Muridae
Source: RNAcentral
UGAAAUAUAAGCCUACUCCUAAGA